Molecule: ribosomal RNA, 254 nt
Filed under: uncultured bacterium
Lineage: Bacteria
Description: partial 16S ribosomal RNA
Rfam family: Bacterial small subunit ribosomal RNA
Source: RNAcentral
UACGUAGGGUCCAAGCGUUGUCCGGAUUUAUUGGGCGUAAAGAGCUCGUAGGCGGCUUAGUAAGUCGGAUGUGAAAACUCGGGGCUCAACCCCGAGACGCCAUCCGAUACUGCUGUGGCUUGAGUCUGGUAGGGGAACACGGAAUUCCUGGUGGAGCGGUGAAAUGCGUAGAUAUCAGGAGGAACACCGGUGGCGAAGGCGGCUACCUGGACAGAAACUGACGCUGAGGCGCGAAAGCUAGGGGAGCAAACAGG